Molecule: ribosomal RNA, 445 nt
Filed under: uncultured bacterium
Lineage: Bacteria
Description: bacterial SSU rRNA
Rfam family: Bacterial small subunit ribosomal RNA
Source: RNAcentral
UUCCAGACUCCUACGGGAGGCAGCAGUGGGGGAUAUUGCACAAUGGGGGGAACCCUGAUGCAGCGACGCCGCGUGGGUGAAGAAGCGCCUCGGCGCGUAAAGCCCUGUCAGCAGGGAAGAAAAUGACGGUACCUGAAGAAGAAGCCCCGGCUAACUACGUGCCAGCAGCCGCGGUAAUACGUAGGGGGCAAGCGUUAUCCGGAUUUACUGGGUGUAAAGGGAGCGUAGGCGGGCGAGAAAGUUGAAUGUUAAAUCUACCGGCUUAACUGGUAGCUGCGUUCAAAACUUCUUGUCUUGAGUGAAGUAGAGGCAGGCGGAAUUCCUAGUGUAGCGGUGAAAUGCGUAGAUAUUAGGAGGAACACCAGUGGCGAAGGCGGCCUGCUGGGCUUUAACUGACGCUGAGGCUCGAAAGCGUGGGGAGCAAACAGGAUUAGAUACCCCGGUA